UCGCGUAAUCAUGGGGGGUCAUACCUGCACAAUGGCCUACGGGUUUAAUUGCCGCGGUAACCUGACCGUGCAAAGGUAGCGUAAUCAAUAGCCUAUUAAUUGUUGGCCUGUAUGAAUGGUUUUACGCUGGUAGCGCUGUCUCAGUGGUAUUAAUUUGAAUUUAACUUUUGGGUGAAAAGGCCCAAAUAUAUCUGAAAGACGAUUAGACCCUAUCGAACUUUGGGUAGAGACUUUACCAGGACCCUGAAAAGGGUUCUUGGAUAGAGCUUGAAACCUUUGGUUGGGGUAACCGGGGGUUAAAAAAAACGCCCCCUCCCAUCGUAGUGAAGCACCCGUUAUGAUAAGGGUAGAUAGAAUUCUACCCCCAGGGCAAUUGGCCUCAGGAAAGUGAAGUUUUAGUUAAAAUAAGGGAGCGACAGCUCAUAAAUUACUUGUAGAAUGAACCUAAAGAUUUGUUUUAAACAGAGAUCUGUUAAUAGGGAAGAGUUACCGUAGGGAUAACAGCGUAAUCUUCCCGGCGAGACCACAUUAAGGGGAAGGUUUGCGACCUCGAUGUUGGCUUAGGGCUUCCCAGAAGUGCAGUAGCUUCUAAG
RNAcentral lists this ribosomal RNA (593 nucleotides) under Lottia dorsuosa. Its description in RNAcentral is "partial large subunit ribosomal RNA". It matches the Rfam family "Bacterial large subunit ribosomal RNA", at positions 1835 to 2569 of the family's 2925-position model. Lineage: Eukaryota; Metazoa; Mollusca; Gastropoda; Lottiidae. The record is from RNAcentral.